UGUAAUGAUGAUUCAAUAGACUAGAGUCUCUGAGAACAUGAUGUUUCUUUAAAUCACACUGAACA
Silurus meridionalis is the source of this 65-nucleotide small nucleolar RNA. RefSeq annotates it as small nucleolar RNA SNORD52. Lineage: Eukaryota; Metazoa; Chordata; Actinopteri; Siluriformes; Siluridae. The transcript has a single exon. The record is from RefSeq and is a predicted model, not a curated record.